Homo sapiens (human) is the source of this 400-nucleotide long non-coding RNA. Ensembl annotates it as complement component 3 precursor pseudogene. Its record names the gene C3P1. The record is from Ensembl. Lineage: Eukaryota; Metazoa; Chordata; Mammalia; Primates; Hominidae.
AGUGCCACAAGGUCAGUGCCCCAGUCAGUGGCCCUGGCCGGCUCAGACAGGACUCUGUUCUCUCCAGCUCUCCCAUGAGAAGAACACGGUGCUGGGCUUUCGGGUUCACAGGAUGCUGCAGGCGGAGUUCCUGCAGGCCGCCCUGGUCACCAUCUACGACUACUACGAGCCUUUUACAGCUAUGUUCUGGGCAAGGAGACGUUCCUCAUCCUUUGGCCAGCAGAUGGAGAUGCCAGCAAGAAAGAAUUGCGGGACCAACUGGAGGAAUUUUUGGAAUAUAUGCGCACCCACGGCUGCCAGUCCUGAGCCUCUUCUGCUUUCAGGGAGGUGUCAUCAGGCAGCUCUGGGCCACUGGGUUUAACCCCAAAUAAAGAGCACAGGAUAUGACACCCAAACCCUG